This 330-nucleotide ribosomal RNA is filed under the name uncultured bacterium. RNAcentral's name for it is "bacterial SSU rRNA". It matches the Rfam family "Bacterial small subunit ribosomal RNA", at positions 29 to 384 of the family's 1533-position model. The record is from RNAcentral.
AACGAACGCUGGCGGCAUGCCUAACACAUGCAAGUUGAACGAGACCUUCGGGUCUAGUGGCGCACGGGUGCGUAACGCGUGGGAACCUGCCUUUAGGUUCGGAAUAACUCAGAGAAAUUUGAGCUAAUACCGGAUAAUGUCUUCGGACCAAAGAUUUAUCGCCUUUAGAUGGGCCCGCGUAAGAUUAGCUAGUUGGUGGGGUAAAGGCCUACCAAGGCGACGAUCGUUUAGCUGGUCUGAGAGGAUGAUCAGCCACACUGGGACUGAGACACGGCCCAGACUCCUACGGGAGGCAGCAGUGGGGAAUAUUGGGACAAUGGGCGAAAGCCG